GACGAACGCUGGCGGCGUGCUUAACACAUGCAAGUCGAACGCUGAAGCCCUUUCGGGGGUGGAUGAGUGGCGAACGGGUGAGUAACACGUGGGUAAUCUGCCCUGCACUCUGGGAUAAGCCUUGGAAACGGGGUCUAAUACCGGAUAGGACACAUCGCCGCAUGGUGUGUGUGUGGAAAGUUCCGGCGGUGCAGGUUGGGCCCGCGGGCUAUCAGCUUGGUGGUGGGGGUGUGGCCUACCAAGGGGACGACGGGGAGCCGGCCUGAGAGGGGGACCGGGCACACUGGGAAUGAGACACCGCCCAGACUCCUACGGGAGGCAGCAGUGGGGAAUCUUGCGCAAUGGGCGAAAGCCUGACGCAGCAACGCCGCGUGGGGGAUGACGGCCUUCGGGUUGUAAACCUCUUUCGACCGGGACGAAGGGUGACUGACGGUACCGGUAGAAGAAGCACCGGCUAACUACGUGCCAGCCGCCGCGGUAA
RNAcentral lists this ribosomal RNA (481 nucleotides) under uncultured bacterium. RNAcentral describes it as "partial 16S ribosomal RNA". It matches the Rfam family "Bacterial small subunit ribosomal RNA", at positions 28 to 523 of the family's 1533-position model. The record is from RNAcentral.